This 82-nucleotide transfer RNA is filed under the name Schizosaccharomyces pombe (fission yeast). RNAcentral describes it as "tRNA Serine (uga), mitochondrial". It matches the Rfam family "tRNA". Rfam says of the family: Transfer RNA (tRNA) molecules are approximately 80 nucleotides in length. Their secondary structure includes four short double-helical elements and three loops (D, anti-codon, and T loops). The record is from RNAcentral. Lineage: Eukaryota; Fungi; Ascomycota; Schizosaccharomycetes; Schizosaccharomycetales; Schizosaccharomycetaceae.
GGAAGGGUGUCCGAGUGGUUUAAGGAGCGAUAUUUGAGCUAUUGUGAUUUAUUCAUCGCAGGUUCGAAUCCUGCCCCUUUCG